AUACGUAGGGGGCGAGCGUUAUCCGGAUUUAUUGGGCGUAAAGCGUGUGUAGGCGGUUUGUUAAGUUUAAGAUUAAAGCCCGAGGAUUAACCUCGGUUCGUCUUAAAAACUGGCAGACUUGAGUGGAGUUGAGGCAAGUGGAAUUUCUAGUGUAGCGGUUAAAUGCGUAGAUAUUAGAAGGAACACAAGUGGCGAAGGCGGCUUGCUGGGCUGUUACUGACGCUGAGACACGAAAGCGUGGGGAGCAAAUAGGAUUAGAUACCCUAGUAGUCCACGCCGUAAACGAUGAGUACUAAGUGUCGGGUAACCGGUGCUGAAGUUAACACAUUAAGUACUCCGCCUGAGUAGUACGGUCGCAAGGCUGAAACUCAAAUGAAUUGACGGGG
RNAcentral lists this ribosomal RNA (386 nucleotides) under uncultured bacterium. RNAcentral's name for it is "partial 16S ribosomal RNA". It matches the Rfam family "Bacterial small subunit ribosomal RNA", at positions 523 to 918 of the family's 1533-position model. The record is from RNAcentral.